CUGUCGCUGAUGUCUGAGCUGAUGGGCUUUUCACCUGGGUUCCUUGCUGUGCAGGUCAUCGAGGACCUGACCCACAAAAUGGGGAAUUUCAAGCAGUUUGGGGAUUUUCUGCAGCAUGCUGGAGUCAGUGCUGAUGCAGAGCAGCAAGUCCAUCAGCCUGGAGCUCCUCACCUAUGCUGACCUGGAAACCCUACAGAGCCGGAAAGUGGGGGCAAUUGCCCGCCCCCCCCCCCCCCUUCCACUGCUUCCCCGCUCAGUGCCAAGUGUUACACCUCAUCCUAAUCUACCCUGUCCAGUUCAACAGGUGAUACAGGGAGGGGAGCACACGACACACCAGGUGGGGGGAUACGGCAGAGGGGACAUCACCGUCACCCCCACCAUGUGUCCGGUUCCCCC
Long non-coding RNA from Aquila chrysaetos chrysaetos, 396 nucleotides. RefSeq lists it as uncharacterized. NCBI's taxonomy places the organism in Eukaryota, Metazoa, Chordata, Aves, Accipitriformes, Accipitridae. The transcript has 3 exons. The record is from RefSeq and is a predicted model, not a curated record.